UGUGCAUAUUGUUAUGCAUUUACUUUUCUACAAUGGCUAGAGGUAUAGGGAGAGGGUUGAGAUCUCAUAAACAUGUUAACCCCGCCGAAAUUUUGCGUCUGUCCCAAGUCAGGAGCCUCUGGCCUUUGUUAGUAUUGUAUGAUUUUUAAUUUUAGUUUCUUGUGUAUAAUUCGGAGUUUAGUAUGACGUCCAUUAUCACUG
This 201-nucleotide long non-coding RNA is filed under the name Mytilus galloprovincialis (Mediterranean mussel). Lineage: Eukaryota; Metazoa; Mollusca; Bivalvia; Mytilida; Mytilidae. The record is from RNAcentral.